AACGAACGCUGGCGGCGUGCCUAAAACAUGCAAGUCGAACGAGAAAGUGGGCAACCAUGAGUAUAGUGGCGCACGGGUGAGUAACACGUGGAUAACCUACCUUUAGAACUGGGAUAACAUUCCGAAAGGAAUGCUAAUACCGGAUGAUGUUUAAGAUUCAUUGGGGUUUUUAAAUGAAAACGGGCCUAUGUUUACAAGCUACGGUCUAAAGAGGGGUCUGCGUCCCAUUAGUUAGUUGGUGAGGUAAAAGCUUAUCCAAGACGAGGAUGGGUAGCUGGUCUGAGAGGACGACCAGCCACAUUGGAACUGAAACACGGUCCAAACUCCUACGGGAGGCAGCAGUUGGGAAUAUUGCGCAAUGGAGGAAACUCUGACGCAGCGACGCCGCGUGAGCGAAGAAGGCCUUCGGGUUGUAAAGCUCUGUCAACAGGGAAGAAUGUCAUAUAUGUGAACAACAUGCAUGGUUGACUGUACCUGUGGAGGAAGCACCGGCUAACUCUGUGCCAGCAGCCGCGGUAA
This 519-nucleotide ribosomal RNA is filed under the name uncultured bacterium. RNAcentral describes it as "partial 16S ribosomal RNA". It matches the Rfam family "Bacterial small subunit ribosomal RNA", at positions 29 to 523 of the family's 1533-position model. The record is from RNAcentral.